ACAAAGUCAAAUUAUAACAAUGUAUACACAUAAAAACUCCCAAAUAUUACAUAUAACUUCCACUACCAAAUUACAUAUAUAUUCAUCAAUCCUUAAUACCACACUUCAUCAAAUAACUUCAUGAAUUCAAGCAUUCUUCAGCAAGUCAUAAGGCUCUCAAAAAUAGUAUCAUCCAAUAACUCAUCAAACCUCAAAAUUUCUUUCAUAAUUUAACACACCAUAACCUCUACUACAACUUUAAUGA
RNAcentral lists this unclassified non-coding RNA (244 nucleotides) under Hevea brasiliensis (rubber tree). The record is from RNAcentral. Lineage: Eukaryota; Viridiplantae; Streptophyta; Magnoliopsida; Malpighiales; Euphorbiaceae.